UACGGGGGGGGCAAGCGUUGUUCGGAAUUACUGGGCGUAAAGGGCGUGUAGGCGGCCAACUAAGUCCGACGUGAAAUCCCCAGGCUUAACCUGGGAACUGCGUCGGAUACUGGAUGGCUUGAAUCCGGGAGAGGGAUGCAGAAUUCCAGGUGUAGCGGUGAAAUGCGUAGAUAUCUGGAGGAAUACCGGUGGCGAAGGCGGCAUCCUGGACCGGCAUUGACGCCGAAGCGCGAAAGCUAGGGGAGCAAACGGG
This 253-nucleotide ribosomal RNA is filed under the name uncultured bacterium. RNAcentral describes it as "partial 16S ribosomal RNA". It matches the Rfam family "Bacterial small subunit ribosomal RNA", at positions 524 to 776 of the family's 1533-position model. The record is from RNAcentral.